CUUUGAGUGAAAGUCUAGGAUUCUUGGAAUUAUGAUAUUUUCUUUUCAUUUUUGUCCCUAGGUCCUGCCACAAGUUUGCAUGUUAUUUUUUCUUUAUCACUCAUCUUUGGAUAAUCUUGCUUUCCGUUCUUUUCCCAAUCAAAAGGAUUCUCAAUCAUUUUCUUAUUUCAACCAUCAAUUGCAGAUAAGGUUAUCUUAUUUUCGAGUAUCUGAAUCUGUUAAGAAGGUUUUAUGUGUUUUAUUGUAUAUCACAUUUACAUAGAUUCUAAAAAGGUAGAUUUUUACAGGAAUUUUAUUUUAUUUUCGUAUUUCAAUAUUGCCGGUUAAUAAUAUCUAUUUGCUAAAAUUGAAAGUUGUUUUGUGUUGCUCUCUUUUUUUCUUUCAAAAUUUAAACAAUGGAUGUUCACUCCCAAA
Long non-coding RNA from Gossypium raimondii (Peruvian cotton), 414 nucleotides. RefSeq lists it as uncharacterized. The record is from RefSeq and is a predicted model, not a curated record. Lineage: Eukaryota; Viridiplantae; Streptophyta; Magnoliopsida; Malvales; Malvaceae. The transcript is spliced from 2 exons.